Molecule: ribosomal RNA, 403 nt
Filed under: Fusobacteriota bacterium
Lineage: Bacteria; Fusobacteriati; Fusobacteriota
Description: Fusobacteria bacterium partial 16S ribosomal RNA
Rfam family: Bacterial small subunit ribosomal RNA
Source: RNAcentral
UGGGGAAUAUUGCACAAUGGAGGGAACUCUGAUGCAGCGACGCCGCGUGAACGAAGAAGGCUUUCGAGUCGUAAAGUUCUUUUAUAUGGGAAGAUAAUGACGGUACCAUAAGAAAAAGCCCCGGCUAACUACGUGCCAGCAGCCGCGGUAAUACGUAGGGGGCUAGCGUUGUCCGGAAUCACUGGGCGUAAAGGGUUCGCAGGCGGAAAUGCAAGUCAGGUGUAAAAGGCAGUAGCUUAACUACUGUAAGCAUUUGAAACUGCAUAUCUUGAGAAGAGUAGAGGUAAGUGGAAUUUUUAGUGUAGCGGUGAAAUGCGUAGAUAUUAAAAAUAAUACCGGUGGCGAAGUCGACUUACUGGGCUCAUUCUGACGCUGAGGAACGAAAGCGUGGGUAGCAAACAGG